ACUCAAAGGAAUUGACGGGGGCCCGCACAAGCAGCGGAGCAUGUGGUUUAAUUCGAAGCAACGCGAAGAACCUUACCAGGUCUUGACAUCCACUUAAACUCACAGAGAUGUGAGGUGUCUUCGGACGAAGUGAGACAGGUGGUGCAUGGUUGUCGUCAGCUCGUGUCGUGAGAUGUUGGGUUAAGUCCCGCAACGAGCGCAACCCUUAUUUUCAGUUACUAACGCGUAAAGGCGAGGACUCUGAAGAGACUGCCGGGGACAACUCGGAGGAAGGUGGGGACGACGUCAAAUCAUCAUGCCCCUUAUGACCUGGGCUACACACGUGCUACAAUGGCCACUACAAAGAGGAGCAAGCCCGUAAGGGGGAGCGGAUCUGAGAAAAGUGGUCCCAGUUCAGAUUGUGGGCUGCAACCCGCCCACAUGAAGUCGGAGUUGCUAGUAAUCGCGGAUCAGCAUGCCGCGGUGAAUACGUUCCCGGGCCUUGCACACACCGCCCGU
RNAcentral lists this ribosomal RNA (498 nucleotides) under uncultured bacterium. Its description in RNAcentral is "bacterial SSU rRNA". It matches the Rfam family "Bacterial small subunit ribosomal RNA", at positions 899 to 1397 of the family's 1533-position model. The record is from RNAcentral.